UCGCUAGUAAUCGUAGAUCAGCAUGCUACGGUGAAUACGUUCCCGGGUCUUGUACACACCGCCCGUCACACCACGAGAGUUUGUAACACCCGAAGCCGGUGGAGUAACCAUCUAUGGAGCUAGCCGUCGAAGGUGGGACAAAUGAUUGGGGUGAAGUCGUAACAAGGUAGCCGUAUCGGAAGGUGCGGCUGGAUCACCUCCUUU
RNAcentral lists this ribosomal RNA (204 nucleotides) under Staphylococcus ureilyticus. RNAcentral describes it as "partial 16S ribosomal RNA". It matches the Rfam family "Bacterial small subunit ribosomal RNA", at positions 1332 to 1533 of the family's 1533-position model. Lineage: Bacteria; Bacillati; Bacillota; Bacilli; Caryophanales; Staphylococcaceae. The record is from RNAcentral.